This is a long non-coding RNA of Rosa chinensis, 745 nucleotides long. RefSeq lists it as uncharacterized. The record is from RefSeq and is a predicted model, not a curated record. Lineage: Eukaryota; Viridiplantae; Streptophyta; Magnoliopsida; Rosales; Rosaceae. The transcript is spliced from 3 exons.
UGCUCUCCCUGGCAAAAAGACUGAAGACGUUGCCUUGGUGCGUGGAGUCCGCCGGCAACCAACUCCGGCGAGUGCGAACGGAGGCGCGGUCGCCGAGGCGGCGGUCUAGGGCUCCGGCGCUGGCGAUAAGGAAGGCGGAGGAGAAGUCGGAGUGGUGAAUCGUAAGUAGUCGACGGCGAAACGCACGAGAUCGGCGACCACGUGCCGCCACGUGAGCGGUUAGUGAUUCCGAGAUAUAACGUCCCCAACAAGCGUCGGAAGCAGCUCCGGGAACAGUUCAUGCGCCGCAUUCGCCUCGUUCUCAAAGAAACGGAGCAAGCAAUCCCAUUCCGAUCAAUUUCAGGUUGGUUUGAGUCAGUUCUAAGCAUGACUUUUGAGAGGAAAACAUCUUUGUACCAACGAAAAUCUUGAAGCUUUUUGCAUCUUAGAUUUGUAAGGGUUUCUGCCAUUCUAUCUUUGAUUGCUUUGUGAUCACCUAUAAAGUGAGUCAUGAUGGAGUAACAAAGCGUUGCUACUACAUCGGUUACAGGCAAAUUUUGCUGGUCAACAAUCAUUGCACCAGUUGUUUGUUCUAUUUUGACACUGCUUAAAAUUUGAUUGCGUUGAUCAGAUGUGAGAUAGUUAUCCCACCAUCCUUUCAAUUGGCCAGUAAAUCCUGCUACGAGGAUGUUACCGAUUUCUCAAUCUGUUUUUGUAUUUUUGUAAACAUUGCUAACCAUUAACAUUUCAUUGAUGUGUUGGAUGA